This 162-nucleotide ribosomal RNA is filed under the name uncultured Trichoderma. RNAcentral's name for it is "5.8S ribosomal RNA". It matches the Rfam family "5.8S ribosomal RNA". From Rfam's summary of the family: 5.8S ribosomal RNA (5.8S rRNA) is a component of the large subunit of the eukaryotic ribosome. It is transcribed by RNA polymerase I as part of the 45S precursor that also contains 18S and 28S rRNA. The record is from RNAcentral. Lineage: Eukaryota; Fungi; Ascomycota; Sordariomycetes; Hypocreales; Hypocreaceae.
ACUUUCAACAACGGAUCUCUUGGUUCUGGCAUCGAUGAAGUACGCAGCGAAAUGCGAUAAGUAAUGUGAAUUGCAGAAUUCAGUGAAUCAUCGAAUCUUUGAACGCACAUUGCGCCCGCCAGUAUUCUGGCGGGCAUGCCUGUCCGAGCGUCAUUUCAACCC